CCCGGUCCCUGGCAUCCGAUGCGCCCGCGUUCGUCAUACCGCCAUUGUCCCCCGCACCGCCGGGCCUCCUUCGG
This 74-nucleotide transfer RNA is filed under the name Streptomyces hygroscopicus subsp. jinggangensis TL01. RNAcentral describes it as "tRNA-Pro". Lineage: Bacteria; Bacillati; Actinomycetota; Actinomycetes; Kitasatosporales; Streptomycetaceae. The record is from RNAcentral.